Molecule: ribosomal RNA, 328 nt
Filed under: uncultured eukaryote
Lineage: Eukaryota
Description: partial 18S ribosomal RNA
Rfam family: Eukaryotic small subunit ribosomal RNA
Source: RNAcentral
CCCUUAGAUGCCCUGGGCCGCACGCGCGCUACACUGAUGCAUGCAACGAGUUUAUAACCUUGGCCUGAAAGGUCUGGGUAAUCUUUUGAACGUGCAUCGUGAUAGGGAUAGAUUAUUGCAAUUGUUAAUCUUGAACGAGGAAUUCCUAGUAAACGCGAGUCAUCAGCUCGCAUUGAUUACGUCCCUGCCCUUUGUACACACCGCCCGUCGCACCUACCGAUUGAAUGGUUCGGUGAAGAUCUCGGACUUCGAUAUUUAUUCUUUAUUGAGUUUAUAUUGUGGGAAGUUAUCUAAACCUCAUCAUUUAGAGGAAGGUGAAGUCGUAACA